This 888-nucleotide ribosomal RNA is filed under the name uncultured marine group I thaumarchaeote. Its description in RNAcentral is "SSU rRNA". It matches the Rfam family "Archaeal small subunit ribosomal RNA", at positions 13 to 906 of the family's 1478-position model. Lineage: Archaea; Thermoproteati; Nitrososphaerota. The record is from RNAcentral.
CCUGCCGGACCUGACUGCUAUCGGAUUGAUACUAAGCCAUGCGAGUCUUUGUAGUAAUACAAGGCAGACGGCUCAGUAACACGUAGUCAACCUACCCUAUGGACAAGAAUAAUCUCGGGAAACUGGGCAUAAUUCUUGAUAGAUCAUAAUGCCUGGAAUGGUUUAUGGUUAAAAUGAUUCGUCGCCAUAGGAUGGGACUGCGGCCUAUCAGCUUGUUGGUGAGGUAAUGGCCCACCAAGGCGAUUACAGGUACGGGCUCUGAGAGGAGAAGCCCGGAGAUGGGUACUGAGACACGGACCCAGGCCCUAUGGGGCGCAGCAGGCGAGAAAACUUUGCAAUGUGCGAAAGCACGACAAGGUUAAUCCGAGUGGUUUCUGCUAAAGGAACCUUUUGUCAGUCCUAAAAACACUAACGAAUAAGGGGUGGGCAAGUUCUGGUGUCAGCCGCCGCGGUAAAACCAGCACCUCAAGUGGUCAGGAUGAUUAUUGGGCCUAAAGCAUCCGUAGCCGGCUUUGUUAGUUUUCGGUUAAAUCCAUGUGCUCAACGCACGGGCUGCCGAAAAUACUGCAUAGCUAGGGAGUGGGAGAGGUAGACGGUACUCAGUAGGAAGGGGUAAAAUCCUUUGAUUUAUUGAUGACCACCUGUGGCGAAGGCGGUUUACCAGAACACGUUCGACGGUGAGGGAUGAAAGCUGGGGGAGCAAACCGGAUUAGAUACCCGGGUAGUCCCAGCUGUAAACGAUGCAGACUCGAUGAUGCAUUGGCAUAAUAGCCAAUGCAGUGUCGCAGGGAAGCCGUUAAGUCUGCCGCCUGGGAAGUACGUACGCAAGUAUGAAACUUAAAGGAAUUGGCGGGGGAGCACCACAAGGGGUGAAGCCUGCGGUUCAAU